Molecule: unclassified non-coding RNA, 344 nt
Filed under: soil metagenome
Description: partial contains 5.8S ribosomal RNA, internal transcribed spacer 2, and large subunit ribosomal RNA
Rfam family: 5.8S ribosomal RNA (bases 1-120)
Source: RNAcentral
GAUGAAGAACGCAGCGAAAUGCGAUAACUAAUGUGAAUUGCAGAAUUCAGUGAAUCAUCGAGUCUUUGAACGCACAUUGCGCCCCCUGGUAUUCCGGGGGGCAUGCCUGUCCGAGCGUCAUUGCUGCCCUCAAGCACGGCUUGUGUGUUGGGCCUCCGUCCUCCUCCCGGGGGACGGGCCCGAAAGGCAGCGGCGGCACCGCGUCCGGUCCUCGAGCGUAUGGGGCUUCGUCACCCGCUCUUGUAGGCCCGGCCGGCGCUUGCCGACACAUCAAUCUUUUUUCCAGGUUGACCUCGGAUCAGGUAGGGAUACCCGCUGAACUUAAGCAUAUCAUAAGCGGAGGA